AUUGAUCUUGGGUGCAGCAUCUCAUCUGUUGAAUAAAUUUUUUUAUUUAUUUCUAAGGGUUUACCUUCGUGUGCCCGUAUGGGGGAUGGUGCAAUGAUCAGCGGUACAUUU
Candida albicans SC5314 is the source of this 111-nucleotide small nucleolar RNA. NCBI's taxonomy places the organism in Eukaryota, Fungi, Ascomycota, Pichiomycetes, Serinales, Debaryomycetaceae. The record is from RefSeq and is a predicted model, not a curated record.